UACGUAGGGUGCAAGCGUUAAUCGGAAUUACUGGGCGUAAAGCGUGCGCAGGCGGCUUUGCAAGACAGAUGUGAAAUCCCCGGGCUUAACCUGGGAACUGCAUUUGUGACUGCAUGGCUAGAGUGCGGCAGAGGGGGAUGGAAUUUACGGUGUAGCAGUGAAAUGCGUAGAUAUCGUAAGGAAGACCAGUGGCGAAGGCGAAUCUCUGGACAGUUACUGACACUGAGGCACGAAGGCCAGGGGAGCAAACGGG
RNAcentral lists this ribosomal RNA (253 nucleotides) under uncultured bacterium. RNAcentral's name for it is "partial 16S ribosomal RNA". It matches the Rfam family "Bacterial small subunit ribosomal RNA", at positions 524 to 776 of the family's 1533-position model. The record is from RNAcentral.